Molecule: long non-coding RNA, 3118 nt
Filed under: Chlamydomonas reinhardtii
Lineage: Eukaryota; Viridiplantae; Chlorophyta; Chlorophyceae; Chlamydomonadales; Chlamydomonadaceae
Description: long non-coding RNA (CREI_LNC001071)
Source: RNAcentral
AUGGCUCUAGGAGCUGGGGGUAAAUGUCGGCAAGUCCCUGUGUUGCGGCGGCUCACUAGACCGCCGGCAUGGUCGCCCUCUCGCUCCGUUCAUUCUGACAUUGCAGGCCAAGGGGUCUGACCUGCGUGUUCACUUCAAGAACACGCGGGAGACCGCCUUCGCCCUGCGCAAGAUGUCCCUGAACAAGGCCAAGAAGUACCUGGAGGAUGUGAUUGCGCACAAGCGCUGCAUUGCCUUCCGCCGGUACCAGGGCGCUGUGGGCCGCACCACGCAGGCUAAGAACGAGAACAACCCUUCCGGCCAGGGCCGCUGGCCCGUGAAGUCGGCUGAGUUCAUUCUCAACCUGCUGAAGAACGCGGAGAGCAACGCUGAGGUAAAUAAGCUGCUUGUGUUACGUAUUUGUGUUUGUCCGGCGGUAUGGGGACGGAUCUGGGGCUCGGAAGCAGACUCGGCUUCGGAGCUGCGGCGGCGCUCGGCGUUGCUAGCGGAGCCCAGCGGACCGGCGAGCAGCUUCGGCGAGCAGCAGCGGCCGGCGGGUGGCGCGUUCGUGGAGCGGCUCGGAGCGCGGGACUUGCUGCCGGCCGCGGGGGAAGCAGCUGCUUGCGGCGUCGGGGGAGGGGGAGGGGGGAAUGGGGGGUCGAGGCAGGGAGCACACCGGCCUGCACGGUCGCCGGGCGGCCGGCGCCCACCCCCUGCACCAGCAGCACACAGAAACCAGCCACAGCAGCUGUCCAGCAGCCGUACGGCCCACGGCAAUGCACCAGCAUGGGCGAUGGCGCCCGGCCCUGGCCGAGGCGGCGGUCAGGGACUGGCCGCGGCGCUCGGGGUGCGGCAGGGUUGCUCCAGCGGGGCGGCGGCCGCAAGCCACCGCCGGCCGUAAUUGUGGGGCACAGUAACAGUAUGGCUUUUGGGCACCGAGUACGCGUGCUGGUUGCACGGUGGCAUGCUAUUCCGCGCCGGCCGUUAUAGAACCUAGCGGUAACAGCAGCGCCGCAGCCGCGAUGGCGGCGGCGACGGCCGCGGCUGCGCGGGUGGGCGUCAGCGGCGUUACACCAAAGCCCAAUGCAAACUGGCGGCAGUUUGGCCAGCAGUGUGACAGCAAUGGCGAGGCGGCGCAGCGGGUGGCAGCAGCAGCACCACCUGCGCGGCGGCAUGCUUAAUACCGGAGCUGUCAGCAUGACGAGAUGCUGUGUGCGGCACGGCGUGGCGGCAGCUAGCGGCGGCAGCGUCUGAUGCCCUCAGUCUGUGCCUGGUGCCGCCGGCCGCAGUGAAGCCGCCUGCGCCGCCGCUGGCAGAAGUGCUGGUGCAUAGGCCUGGCGUUGCUGCUGGUGUGAUGACAGCUGCGGUGGUUUCGUGGCUGCAUGCAUCCAUAGGGGUAGCGGCGCCGGCGCUCGGCAUAUGUCAUCCGCACGGCAUACCGGCAGUUAGGGCUGGUCCGUCUGGAUCCCCUGCCGUAGCAGCAGCAGCAGAAGGCCGCGGCCACAGCAGCAGCAGCAGGGCAGGGUGGGAGAGGGCUAGCCGUGUGUUGCAUGCGUGUACGUCGCCGUGCAGUGACGCGGCCUGCGCAGCGUCCAUGCAUCCCCCACGCUCCCCCACCCCUCGCCCAAGCUGAACCCAACCUCCAACUUCCGAUGCACCCUCUUCCUCCGUGACCUCGCAGGUCAAGGGCCUGGACAUCGACAACUGCUUCAUCAGCCACAUCCAGGUCAACCGCGCCAUGCGCCAGCGCCGCCGCACCUACCGCGCGCACGGUCGUGUGAACCCCUACAUGAGCUCGCCCUGCCACAUCGAGCUCAUGAUCUCGGAGAAGAGCGCGGGCGUCAAGGCCGAGAAGGUGAGAGGGCAAGAAAGAGGAGCUGGGAGGGAGCGAGUGCGAGCGGGAGGGAGGGAGGGAGGGAGCGAAGGAGAGAGGAGGAGGAGGGACGCAGGGAAGGCAGGAGAGGGGGCUGGGGUGGUGCGGGAAUGGGAAGCGGCGUGGAAUGGGCCAAUGGUGAUGUUUGGGGGGGGGAGGACGCUAGAUUGGGAACGGUGCAUGUAGGAAAGCCUGCUGAGCUCGAGCUCCCAGGUAGAGGACAGACAAGAUAGGAUGCGGCUGGGGGGGGGUCAGAGUCAAGGGUUUUGCGGAUGGCAAGCAAUACACGCAAGUGGCGAACACCGCAGCUUUCCUAGCAAGGGGUGGCGCCGCUGACAGCGGCUACAGCAGCGCAAUCUGGCGAACGGCGAUUGUAGAAGCAGCAGCAACAGCAGCGCUGGUGUCAUUACGCAGACGGCGCAGCACCGAACGGCUCGCCGUCAGCGGCGGCAGGCGCUGCACGCAGGCAUGAGCAGCGGCGUUUGCGGCACUACCCGUGCAGUAGUAGCGCCGAACAGGAUGAGUCGGCUGGGCUGAACGUCGGCUGGCGCUGAGACAGGUUUUACGGCGGCAGCAGCAGCGGCAGCGCCUGGAGCUCGGGUGCAGAAGCUCUGGUGCGGCAGCAGCAGCGGCAUCAGCAGCGUGUGGGGCAAAAGACAGCAGCUGCUCAGACCAGAACCGGAGUCGUGCUGCGCGCGGCGAGCCGUGGCGACCAGCGCUUUAUACUGUUGUAAGCGCAGCUUCCUGGCGCAGCUGCCUCGACGGUGUGGUGCCGCGGUGCCGCUGUCGUGUUUGCCGUCUCGAGCAGCUGCCAGGGGCAGUAACCGGGAGCGGUGGCUCGCAGCGGUGGCGACGCAGCGAUGUCGACGCAGCGAUACUAGGGAGUCGUCAUUUUAUCAGCUCAGCAUCACCGGGCAACAUCACAUGGGCAGACAGCGCUUGGCUCAGAAACGGGGCCGACGUGCGCCGUGCCAUCCGACGCGGGGCGGGGCGGGGCAACACGCGCCGUUGAUUAAUGCACCUUACUCAUACUCCACCCAUGCCGUCGCCGCCCAGCCUUCUCACUGCUGCUGCUGUUGCCCCUGUGCGCCCUCCUCGCCUCCCUCAGGACACCAAGGAGCGCAAGCUCAGCAAGGUGCAGCUGGCGAAGCGCCUGCGCACCGGCACCGCCUCGGCGUAAGCAGCAGCAUUUCGCCACAUCACCUUAAGUGUUGUGUGUAAGUCUCCUACGUGGCAGUCCCCGUCCCCUCUCCGGGCCCCUGGCUC